Molecule: ribosomal RNA, 253 nt
Filed under: uncultured bacterium
Lineage: Bacteria
Description: partial 16S ribosomal RNA
Rfam family: Bacterial small subunit ribosomal RNA
Source: RNAcentral
UACGAAGGGGGCUAGCGUUGCUCGGAAUCACUGGGCGUAAAGCGCACGUAGGCGGCUUUUUAAGUCAGGGGUGAAAUCCUGGAGCUCAACUCCAGAACUGCCUUUGAUACUGGGAAGCUUGAGUCCGGAAGAGGUGAGUGGAACUCCGAGUGUAGAGGUGAAAUGCGUAGAUAUCUGGAGGAACACCGGUGGCGAAGGCGGCAUCCUGGACCAAUACUGACGCUGAGGAGCGAAAGCCAGGGGAGCAAACGGG